GGGUGCAUGGUCUAGAGGCAUGAUUCCUGCUUUGGGUGCAGGAGGUCCCCGGUUCGAUCCCGGGUGCGCCCC
This 72-nucleotide transfer RNA is filed under the name Omphalotus olearius VT 653.13. Its description in RNAcentral is "tRNA-Pro (TGG) (tRNA-Pro-TGG-1-1, tRNA-Pro-TGG-1-2)". It matches the Rfam family "tRNA". Rfam says of the family: Transfer RNA (tRNA) molecules are approximately 80 nucleotides in length. The record is from RNAcentral. Lineage: Eukaryota; Fungi; Basidiomycota; Agaricomycetes; Agaricales; Omphalotaceae.